UAAUAGUGUAUAUUAAAGUUGUUGCAGUUAAAAAGCUCGUAGUUGAAUGUUGGUGUCGAACGAGCGGUCAGCUUCGGCUGUACUGCUCUCUCGACUCCUUCCUUCUGUGGACUACGUCGCACUUUACUGUGUGGCGCUAGGACGCAGAUCGUUUACUGUGAAAAAAUUAGAGUGUUCAAAGCAGGCCGUACGCUUGAAUACAUUAGCAUGGAAUAAUGGAAUAGGACGUCGGGCCUAUUUUAUUGGUUCUAGGACCGUCGUAAUGAUUAAUAGGGACAGUUGGGGCCGUUUAUAUUCCGUAGUCAGAGGUGAAAUUCUUGGAUUUACGGAAGAUAAACUACUGCGAAAGCAUUCGGCAAGGAUGUUUNCGUUAA
RNAcentral lists this ribosomal RNA (374 nucleotides) under uncultured eukaryote. RNAcentral describes it as "partial 18S ribosomal RNA". It matches the Rfam family "Eukaryotic small subunit ribosomal RNA", at positions 592 to 976 of the family's 1831-position model. The record is from RNAcentral.